RNAcentral lists this ribosomal RNA (500 nucleotides) under uncultured bacterium. RNAcentral's name for it is "partial 16S ribosomal RNA". It matches the Rfam family "Bacterial small subunit ribosomal RNA", at positions 30 to 523 of the family's 1533-position model. The record is from RNAcentral.
AUUGAACGCUGGCGGCAUGCCUUACACAUGCAAGUCGAACGGCAGCACGGGAGCAAUCCUGGUGGCGAGUGGCGAACGGGUGAGUAAUGUAUCGGAACGUGCCCAGUCGUGGGGGAUAACGUAGCGAAAGCUACGCUAAUACCGCAUACGAUCUAUGGAUGAAAGCGGGGGAUCGCAAGACCUCGCGCGAUUGGAGCGGCCGAUAUCAGAUUAGGUAGUUGGUGGGGUAAAGGCCCACCAAGCCUGCGAUCUGUAGCUGGUCUGAGAGGACGAACGGCCACCCUGGAACUGAGACACGGUCGAGACUCCUACGGGAGGCAGCAGGGGGAAAUUUUGGACAAUGGGCGCAAGCCUGAUUCAGCAAUGCCGCGUGCAGGAUGAAGGCCUUCGGGUUGUAAACUGCUUUUGUACGGAACGAAACGGCUUUUUCUAAUACAGAGAGCUAAUGACGGUACCGUAAGAAUAAGCACCGGCUAACUACGUGCCAGCAGCCGCCGUAA